This 656-nucleotide ribosomal RNA is filed under the name uncultured bacterium. Its description in RNAcentral is "bacterial SSU rRNA". It matches the Rfam family "Bacterial small subunit ribosomal RNA", at positions 1 to 664 of the family's 1533-position model. The record is from RNAcentral.
UAGAGUUUGAUCAUGGCUCAUGAUGAACGCUAGCGGGAGGCCUAACACAUGCAAGCCGAGCGGUAGAGUUUCUUCGGAAACUUGAGAGCGGCGCACGGGUGCGGAACACGUGUGCAACCUGCCUUUAUCUGGGGGAUAGCCUUUCGAAAGGAAGAUUAAUACCCCAUAAUAUAUUGAUUGGCAUCAGUUAAUAUUGAAAACUCCGGUGGAUAAAGAUGGGCACGCGUAAGAUUAGAUAGUUGGUGAGGUAACGGCUCACCAAGUCAACGAUCUUUAGGGGGCCUGAGAGGGUGAUCCCCCACACUGGUACUGAGACACGGACCAGACUCCUACGGGAGGCAGCAGUGAGGAAUAUUGGACAAUGGGUGAGAGCCUGAUCCAGCCAUCCCGCGUGAAGGAAUAAGGACCUAUGGUUUGUAAACUUCUUUUGUACAGGGAUAAACCUACUCACGUGUGAGUAGCUGAAGGUACUGUACGAAUAAGCACCGGCUAACUCCGUGCCAGCAGCCACGGUAAUACGGAGGGUGCAAGCGUUAUCCGGAUUUAUUGGGUUUAAGGGUCCGUAGGCGGGCCCGUAAGUCAGUGGUGAAAUCUCACAGCUUAACUGUGAAACUGCCGUUGAUACUGCGGGUCUUGAGUGUAGUUGAGGUAGCUGG